AAACAUUCAAAAGAACAGGACAGACUUGGAGGAGACACAAGCGAGCUGCUGACCUGAAACAUUCACAGGAACAGGGUGGAAACCACAGGUUGGACACGAAAAUCACCACUUAAGUGCUGAAAAACACGUUAAAAAUGGGGAACGUACCGUCAGAAAGUAACAUGGGCGAAAACCUGAGAUGCUGCAAGUGUGAUAUAGUCCUGCCUCCGUGCAAAUCCUUCGAUGAUUU
Micropterus salmoides (largemouth bass) is the source of this 229-nucleotide long non-coding RNA. RefSeq lists it as uncharacterized. The transcript has 3 exons. NCBI's taxonomy places the organism in Eukaryota, Metazoa, Chordata, Actinopteri, Centrarchiformes, Centrarchidae. The record is from RefSeq and is a predicted model, not a curated record.